UGCAGUCGAACGAUGAUGCCCAGCUUGCUGGGUGGAUUAGUGGCGAACGGGUGAGUAACACGUGAGUAACCUGCCCCUGACUCUGGGAUAAGCGUUGGAAACGACGUCUAAUACUGGAUAUGACUGCCGGCCGCAUGGUCUGGUGGUGGAAAGAUUUUUUGGUUGGGGAUGGACUCGCGGCCUAUCAGCUUGUUGGUGAGGUAAUGGCUCACCAAGGCGACGACGGGUAGCCGGCCUGAGAGGGUGACCGGCCACACUGGGACUGAGACACGGCCCAGACUCCUACGGGAGGCAGCAGUGGGGAAUAUUGCACAAUGGGCGAAAGCCUGAUGCAGCAACGCCGCGUGAGGGAUGACGGCCUUCGGGUUGUAAACCUCUUUUAGUAGGGAAGAAGCGUAAGUGACGGUACCUGCAGAAAAAAGCACCGGCUAACUACGUGCCAGCAGCCGCGGUAAUACGUAGGGUGCAAGCGUUGUCCGGAAUUAUUGGGCGUAAAGAGCUCGUAGGCGGUUUGUCGCGUCUGCUGUGAAAUCCCGAGGCUCAACCUCGGGCUUGCAGUGGGUACGGGCAGACUAGAGUGCGGUAGGGGAGAUUGGAAUUCCUGGUGUAGCGGUGGAAUGCGCAGAUAUCAGGAGGAACACCGAUGGCGAAGGCAGAUCUCUGGGCCGUAACUGACGCUGAGGAGCGAAAGCGUGGGGAGCGAACAGGAUUAGAUACCCUGGUAGUCCACGCCGUAAACGUUGGGCGCUAGAUGUAGGGACCUUUCCACGGUUUCUGUGUCGUAGCUAACGCAUUAAGCGCCCCGCCUGGGGAGUACGGCCGCAAGGCUAAAACUCAAAGGAAUUGACGGGGGCCCGCACAAGCGGCGGAGCAUGCGGAUUAAUUCGAUGCAACGCGAAGAACCUUACCAAAGGCUUGACAUACACCGGAAACGGCCAGAGAUGGUUGCCCCCUUGUGGUCGGUGUACAGGUGGUGCAUGGUUGUCGUCAGCUCGUGUCGUGAGAUGUUGGGUUAAGUCCCGCAACGAGCGCAACCCUCGUUCUAUGUUGCCAGCGCGUUAUGGCGGGGACUCAUAGGAGACUGCCGGGGUCAACUCGGAGGAAGGUGGGGAUGACGUCAAAUCAUCAUGCCCCUUAUGUCUUGGGCUUCACGCAUGCUACAAUGGCCGGUACAAAGGGCUGCGAUACCGUAAGGUGGAGCGAAUCCCAAAAAGCCGGUCUCAGUUCGGAUUGAGGUCUGCAACUCGACCUCAUGAAGUCGGAGUCGCUAGUAAUCGCAGAUCAGCAACGCUGCGGUGAAUACGUUCCCGGGCCUUGUACACACCGCCCGUCAAGUCAUGAAAGUCGGUAACACCCGAAGCCGGUGGCCUAACCCUUGUGGAAGGAGCCGUCGAA
Molecule: ribosomal RNA, 1395 nt
Filed under: Curtobacterium
Lineage: Bacteria; Bacillati; Actinomycetota; Actinomycetes; Micrococcales; Microbacteriaceae
Also listed under: 1 other name
Description: bacterial SSU rRNA
Rfam family: Bacterial small subunit ribosomal RNA
Source: RNAcentral